Molecule: ribosomal RNA, 480 nt
Filed under: uncultured bacterium
Lineage: Bacteria
Description: bacterial SSU rRNA
Rfam family: Bacterial small subunit ribosomal RNA
Source: RNAcentral
GGUGAACGCUGGCGGCGUGCCUAACACAUGCAAGUCGAGCGGUGCAGUUUGAAGCUUCGGUGGAAAGCUGCAUAGCGGCGGACGGGUGAGGAAAACGUAGGAACGUGCCCCUUGGAGUUGGAUAGCCACGGGAAACUGUGGGUAAACCGACAUAGACUCGAGAGAGUAAAGGCCGAAAGGCGCCAAGGGAGCGGCCUGCGGCCUAUCAGGUAGUUGGUAGGGUAAUAGCCUACCAAGCCGAUGACGGGUAGCCGGCCUGAGAGGGUGACCGGCCCGAGGGGCACUGAGAUACGGGUCCCACUCCUACGGGAGGCAGCAGGCUAGAAAUUUGGGCAAUGGGGGAAACCCUGACCCAGUGACGCCGCGUGCAGGAAGGAGCCCUUCGGGGUGUAAACUGCUGUCGUGUAGGGAGAAGGGUACUAAGGUGAACAAUCUUAGUACUUGACGGUACUACAGGAGGAAGCCCAGGCUAACCUCGUG